GCCUGAGUAGCUCAGUUAGUAGAGCAUCAGACUUUUACCUGAGGGUCCUGUGUUCAAGUCCCUGUGCAGGCA
Transfer RNA from Loxodonta africana (African savanna elephant), 72 nucleotides. It matches the Rfam family "tRNA". From Rfam's summary of the family: Transfer RNA (tRNA) molecules are approximately 80 nucleotides in length. Their secondary structure includes four short double-helical elements and three loops (D, anti-codon, and T loops). The record is from Rfam. NCBI's taxonomy places the organism in Eukaryota, Metazoa, Chordata, Mammalia, Proboscidea, Elephantidae.